Molecule: small RNA, 28 nt
Filed under: Bombyx mori (domestic silkworm)
Lineage: Eukaryota; Metazoa; Arthropoda; Insecta; Lepidoptera; Bombycidae
Description: ovarian small RNA-8625
Source: RNAcentral
UGCUGCUUAUGCUGCCUUCUGCCCUGGU